Lactuca sativa (garden lettuce) is the source of this 3028-nucleotide long non-coding RNA. RefSeq lists it as uncharacterized. Lineage: Eukaryota; Viridiplantae; Streptophyta; Magnoliopsida; Asterales; Asteraceae. The record is from RefSeq and is a predicted model, not a curated record.
CGAGUACUCACAAAAAAAAAAAAUUCAGAGAGAAUACAGAAAUUGAAGCAACGACGAUGUGAACCGGUUUUUCACUAGAGAAUAGAGCGGAGAUGGCAGCAACUUCUGGCGAUAAAUGACAAAAAUGACCACAAACUAUUGAAACCUGGUUCGGAAAAGAAAAAUCACCAAGUUCGGUGUAUUACUGGCGAAGUAAAGCUAGCACGUACCAACACCGGUGACAAUAGAGUAACCGGCAUUGACGGAGAUUUGUGGAGGAUGGCAGCUGCUUCCGAUGAAGAAAGAAACAUAUAAUGUCCGAUGUUGUUGACCAAAACAUUGCUUCUUCUGUCUCUCUCUUCUCACCAAACAUCCGACGAGUCUCAAGUAGCGAGCCCCCUAGCGAGUGCUAGGGGCGGUGUUUCAACAUUUUUAGUGAGCCUGGCAAGCUCCGAUGGCGAGGCCACUCCUCUUAGUUUCGUUUUCUUCGUUAAUUAGGGAUAGCAGUGUGGAUGGGUUCCGGUUGGUGUUUCUCAAGGUUGUCUGGGAACUAGAACACCAGAUAUGUUCUUCCAGGGCUAUCUGGAUGUGAAGAAUAGAUGCUUGAUGUCUGAAGGGGAUCAAGGGAUGAGCAGUUGCAUAUAGUGUUCCGAGGUAUAUUUCGGCAGUUUGUGCACUUGAAGAUGUUUAUGCAAAUUGUGUUUGUUUAAAUAAGUAUUGAAGAGGAUAAUGAAAGAAGAAACAUGCAUGUAAAUAAAAAGAAGAAUCAUCUGAACAAAAAAAAAAGGUUAUAUAUGUGUAUGAAUAUAAUAUAUCUUUCUUCUAUUCCUUUUAGGACCUAUUUAAGCACUUAUCUUAUGCUAAUUUGCAUAUUGCUUCCUCUUUUAUACCCUUUUUCGUUCAUAUAUUUGUUUGAUUGAUUCUCAUUUAUUUGUAACAUCCCGGAAUAUCAAGAGUAAAGUUGAAGGGCUAAAAGAGUAAUUUAGGAAGGGGAACUCGGCGAGUCCAUGGGUGGACUCGGCGAGUAGGGUCACGACUUUGGUCGCGUGUUAAGUGGCCGACUCGGCGAGUCAGCGGAUGGACUCGGCGAGUAGGCGCUGAGUGGAGAAAAGCCUAUUUCUCGGGGUUGAGCCUUAUAUAAAGAACAUAACAUCCUUUCCCCCAGCCUCUCUACUCUCUCUUAAGUCCAGAAACCCUAGUUGUCAUGUGUGAGAGAAUCAAAGUGCAUUUGGAGGCUUGAAGAAGUGAUUGUUGAGGAAAUCUUGAAGGUUAGGAGGCUUGGAGCAAGGGGCUUUGCUUAGAUUCAGGUUUCAUUGCUGUUGGGGCUUCCUUUUGAGGUAUUAUCUCGUUCUUGGGUUGUUAUUCAUAUGGAUGCAUCAUUUUGGGGUUUAUGGGGAAACAUAUCUUGUGAUGUUUUGAGUUUGGAGGUUAGAUCUGAGGUUGCUACCUCAGAUCUGGAAUGGAGAAGGAUUAGAGUGCAUGAAAGCCCCUGUCCUUGAGUGAUUAGUGAAGCCAUCAUGUCCCAAACCCUAGCCCUAAAGUGUAAAAUGCCUAGAUCUCUUUGGAUUCACGUAAAGUUUGCCACUUUACGUGAUGGAUGGGUUGUAGGAGGGCAGAUCUACGUUUUGGAUCAAUUGCAUGGCCUGGUAUGCUUCUGUAUGGAAUGAGAUCGAGAGGCACUCGGCGAGUCACAAAGGUGAACUCGGCGAGUUGGAAGAACAACUCGGCGAGUAGGUUGAAGAUAGCCUUGAACUCGACGAGUCUGUUCUUGGACUCGGCGAGUCUUGUCGAGAAGUCCCAUUCUUUUCUGGUUGAGCCUAGAAUCGGUGAGUCAAGGGAUGACUCGGUGAGUUGUGUGCGAGUGGACACUGAGUUGUUGGACUCGGCGAGUCUCGGGGUGACUCGGCGAGUUGGGUCGCGGAUUGAAGGAAAUGCUGGGCAUGGGGACUCGACGAGUCAUCGGGUUGACUCGGCGAGUAGAGUCAGUCAGGGGUUGACUUUGACUUUGACCAAGGGUUGACUAGUUGUCUUCCAGGGGUAUUUUGGUAAUUAUUGAGUUCAGUGCCUUGGUGUUGUUCAAUGAAAAAGUUCGUGUCGGAGUUUGGAGCAGCGGGAUCUUAUCUUUUCAGCCGGCAGUUUCGAGGUGAGUUAUCCUCACUAUAUCAACAGGGUCUAAGGCACCAAGGUCGGCCCUUUAUCGGAUUGAGAUCCGGGUAUUUGUUGUAUGUUAUUUCUUUGAUAUGUUGCAUCCUGGUAGCUAGGAUGGUAUAUGUUAGAGACCUGGUUGAGAUCGGUAUCCUGAGAUGUAGGGUGAUGCUAUGCUAGUGACCGGUUAGGUCGGUAUCCUAGUUAGGAUGAUGAUAUGUUAUGUGAUCUGUUGAUCGGUUUGUUGACUGUGAAUUGUUAUAUGAUUGUAUGUUUAUGUGCACAUGGUUGUUUGGACUGGAGUUGGGUUGAGGCGGGUUCUGCUUUGUGCUGUAGGCCAAGAUACCUAGGGCGGACCGGUUGUCCCGAAGGCCCAACGAGCGGUCCAGAUAGGCUGUAGGCCCCAAGAGGGCGGACCAGACGUGCCGAGGCUUGGAGAGUGGACCAGGCCGACUGAAGGCCCGGUGUGGGCGGAUCAGUCAUAAUGUAGACUCAGAGAGUGGACCAAGUGGAUUGAAGGCCCGGUGCGGCGGACCAAUCACACUGAAGACUCGAUGUAUGUGGCUAGAUUCGGAGAGUGGACCACGUGGAUUGAAGGUCUGGUGCGGGCGGACCGAUCACACUGCAAACUUGAUGUAUGUGGCUAGAUUCGGAGAGUAGACCAGGUGGAUUGAAGGCCCGGUGCAGGCGGACCAAUCACACUGCAGACUCGAGGUAUAUGGCUAGACUCGGAGGGACCAGGUGGACUGUUGGCCGGUGCGGCGGACCAGUCACACAGUAGACCCGAAGUGCAUGACUGUUCUGUGAUCGGAUAUGUUAUGGCAUGUUAUGCGUGUAUGGUAUAUGUGGUUGGUAUUUUGGGGAUAUCUCACUAAGCUUUCGGGCUUACAGUUGUGGUUUUAUG